Molecule: long non-coding RNA, 1189 nt
Organism: Hippoglossus stenolepis (Pacific halibut)
Lineage: Eukaryota; Metazoa; Chordata; Actinopteri; Pleuronectiformes; Pleuronectidae
Exons: 3
Source: RefSeq, a predicted model, not a curated record
GGAACAGGGCUCCGAUGUACAGCUUCUUCUUGCCUGCGGAGGGCCGAGGCCCGAGGAGGAGGAGAAGGACGAUGAGAGAUGCCCGGAGCAGCGUCGCAUACCCGCGGGUGGCGCGAGUCACCGGCGCGGGACUGGUGCGCGUCGCCCGCAUGCUUCAAGGUUUACGCCAUAGACUGGAUUUAAAGAUGGACGACACAUUUCCUCCCACUAUCCAGAAAUGAAGCCAAACGUCGCCAUCUUGUGUAUUGGAGCCAUAGUCUGCACGGGGGGGUGGAGCCGAGGCCUCUGUAGCGGAUCCCCCCGUCCCUGGGAGGCCGGAUGAUGGCACAGCCUGAAGAAGAAAAGAAAAGACAAGGAUGGAGAAAGUGGGACGACAAGAGCAGAGAAGGAAAGAUCUGUGGCCGGAUAACGUAGAUAUGUUACAGCAACAUGAUACAUCCCACUUUUAGAACAGCCCUGGCUUCUGGAAGAACAUUUUUUGUAUUCGUUCUCUCUGUUGACGUUUGAGAAAAUCCUGAUAAAAGCAGUUUCAAGCCUGGGACCAGACCGACCUGCAGCUACGAGAUGAAUCGUGAAGAUAAAACAUUUGAUUCGGAGCAAAAACAAUAUUUGUAAACGUAAAAAAGGUACAAGACUGUGUAUAUGAUUUUUUUUUUUUUAGAGGGAAGGAACUACGCAUCCCAUAAACCAUUGCAAAUGAUCCCUUUCAUUUCCUUGUCUCUGAAAAACCCACAGCAGGUUAGAAAGGGAAACGGGAUGUAAUGAUUUUCAGGGUUGUGGGAAACAUUUCCACAGUAACUGCUCCACCAAUCAGAGGCUAUUAAACCUGAGGAUUGUGGGUAGUGUAGUAUUUCUCAUUGAUAACACAAGUAAUACCCAUUUUUCUUCAAACACAGUUGAUAGCAUACGAACUUUAGAGCACAUCGCAUCGUUUCACAACCUCCUAGCUUGUGGGACAUCUGCAUAGGAUGGUUAAAAUAUUACGGCUGUUCAUCAAAAUCUCUAUUCAGAAAAUGAAGGGGGUUUUACUUCAGGCUCCAACACUGGAGAGCUCUAUUUAACCGACAUUUUCUGUACUGCACAAAUUACAGAGUUUCAUUCGGGUCACUUAGCAAUCUCUGCGGGGUUACUUCUCUCCAUUAAUGCAUAUUGUAAACAGACACACACAGCAAACGCACACACACACACA